GACGAACGCUGGCGGCGUGCUUAACACAUGCAAGUCGAACGGAAAGGCCCCUUUGGGGGUCCUCGAGUGGCGAACGGGUGAGUAACACGUGAGUAACCUGCCCUUGACUUCGGGAUAACUUCAGGAAACUGGGGCUAAUACCGGAUAGGAAUCCUUGCUGCAUGGUGGGGGUUGGAAAGCUUCGGCGGUUUUGGAUGGACUCGCGGCUUAUCAGCUUGUUGGUGGGGUAGUGGCUUACCAAGGCUUUGACGGGUAGCCGGCCUGAGAGGGCGACCGGCCACCUUGGGACCGAGAGAAGGCCCAGAUACCGAAGGGAGGGAGAUGUGGGGAAGAUUGACCAAUGAGCGGAAGGCGGAUGAAGAAGGGCCGCGGGCGGGAGGACGGUCUUAGGGUUGAAAAACGAUUUCAGAAGGGGCGAAGCUUGUGGUGACGGUACCUGAAGAAGAAGCACCGGCUAACUACGUG
RNAcentral lists this ribosomal RNA (465 nucleotides) under uncultured bacterium. RNAcentral describes it as "partial 16S ribosomal RNA". It matches the Rfam family "Bacterial small subunit ribosomal RNA", at positions 28 to 507 of the family's 1533-position model. The record is from RNAcentral.